AUUGAACGCUGGCGGAAUGCUUUACACAUGCAAGUCGAGCGGCAGCGCGGGGCAACCUGGCGGCGAGCGGCGAACGGGUGAGUAAUACAUCGGAACGUGCCCAGACGUGGGGGAUAACUACUCGAAAGAGUGGCUAAUACCGCAUACGAUCUAAGGAUGAAAGCGGGGGAUCGCAAGACCUCGCGCGUUUGGAGCGGCCGAUGGCAGAUUAGGUAGUUGGUGGGGUAAAGGCUUACCAAGCCCGCGAUCUGUAGCUGGUCUGAGAGGAUGAUCAGCCACACUGGGACUGAGGCACGGCCCAGACUCCUACGGGAGGCAGCAGUGGGGAAUUUUGGACAAUGGGCGAAAGCCUGAUCCAGCCAUUCCGCGUGCAGGAUGAAGGCCCUCGGGUUGUAAACUGCUUUUGUACAGAACGAAAAAGCUCUUUCUAAUACAGAGAGUCCAUGACGGUACUGUAAGAAUAAGCACCGGCUAACUACGUG
This 482-nucleotide ribosomal RNA is filed under the name uncultured bacterium. Its description in RNAcentral is "bacterial SSU rRNA". It matches the Rfam family "Bacterial small subunit ribosomal RNA", at positions 30 to 507 of the family's 1533-position model. The record is from RNAcentral.